This 208-nucleotide unclassified non-coding RNA is filed under the name Hevea brasiliensis (rubber tree). The record is from RNAcentral. Lineage: Eukaryota; Viridiplantae; Streptophyta; Magnoliopsida; Malpighiales; Euphorbiaceae.
AUGGCUUACUCAUCCUCCUCUGUCCUCUUACUCUCAUUCCUGCUCCUUGUCUCUGCAGCAGCUGCAGGCCGCAGAAUUCCUACAGCGGCUCCUGCGGGCCGUGGAGUUCCUGCUGCUGCUGCUGCAGCUGAUAUGAAAAUGGACAAGGAGUACCUCAACCAGGAAGGCAGUGUUCUUAUUCCCGGGAUCGGUCGCUACAUGAUCGGCA